CAGAUUUAUUAUUAUCUCCAGAUGGACUGUUCUGCCUCUUCCCUCAAAACUUUCUCAUGUUACGAGGAGGAAGCCAAAAGCUGUACACAAGGUGAUUCUGCUGAGCACAGGAAGAAUGGUGAGAAAUACAGCAGCCCUGGGUGAGAGCACUGAGCUGUGGCACUGGUGA
Molecule: long non-coding RNA, 169 nt
Filed under: Cyanistes caeruleus (blue tit)
Lineage: Eukaryota; Metazoa; Chordata; Aves; Passeriformes; Paridae
Description: lncRNA (ENSCCEG00000003812.1)
Source: RNAcentral